GCUCGCCUGCUCUCGGAACGUUUGCCAAUCAGACAACGACGCGUUCCAUACAAGAUUGAAUGCGAUCGUAUAUAUACCCAACGUAUACAAACAGUGGAACAGUGAUUGGCGGUGACGGAGCCGUGCGAAGUAACACUGGCUUAUCGGUACAGCAUGCUCCUGUCCCGGUGGUACAUUACAGCACGCGUGAAAACCGGGACGGCAUGGAAACGACGCUAUCCGGACGGAUAAGUCAAGGGUUGCAAUGUGGGUCCACACUCGUGCCCGACAGUAAAUAAAGGGAAAAGAGAAGUCUAUCCUUUCGAGCGCCGCACGGGGCGAGAAGCUCAGCGCUAUGGCGAUGCGGCGCUCGAAGCUCAGCGCUAUGGCGAUGGCGGAGGCGGCAGACGACGGAUUUCAGUUCCUAUCAGAUCCAACUGACAGAUUCCCAUUGUCGGAUCUCGCCGUAGACGAGUAUUUGCUGCGCGGCGAAACAGAUCAAUCUCUGCUAUGCGCCGUCGCUCAAUCCAGCAAUAGUGGUGUGGCCAUGCGGCAGUCACGGUACAACAAGAAUAUGACAGUCGUUUCAAAAGGAUCGCCCUGUCGAGUUCAGUGCAUUCGACAGACAGAGACGAUGGACAAGCAUCUGACUUGCCCAACAAGUAUACAUAUGCGACGGAGUGGUUCUACUUGAAGCACAUACUAAUUCUGAUUGUUGUGCAUGAUCCUAGAGGGUUGACAUAUAAUGAACUUUCUUGAUUAUCCCAGAGAAGAGUGGUUUAUAAUUAUACUCAUGAUACCUUGACCAGUGUAGCACUCUGACUUGCGGCAGUAAAUCAUUACUGGAUGGCGAAGCAAUUCAAACUUUGGUGUGCACAGCCACUGAAUCCAGCAUUGGUGAUGUGGGCGAUACAGAAGAGACAAUACAAGUAGAUGUCAACAGCACUUGCAAUGGAGUGGCCCUAUCCCUGGCAAACUCAGAACAUUCAACAAGCAAAGAUAACCCGCAAGCACCUGGCUGGACAAAGAGGUAUACAAGUGUCAAUGCGUGUUUCUAUUUCGAACAUAUGCCAACUUUGACUGGCAUGUAUGUUCCCUCAAAAAAUACAAUAGUGUAGUUAAAGUGUUGAACAUUUGUAUUGUUUGUGGGAGUCAACAAUCACUUCCAAAGUGUGAUUUUCGGUGGGGGUCUUAGUAAGGGAUGAGACAGUGGAAACAUUUACAUUGGUGUUCACUGGAUUUAUCUGCAUGAUGGGCGGCAAACAUCCACAGAACUUGCUCACAGAGCCAUGGAGGUUGUAGCAAUAGAUAAGGUGAUGCCAAAUACCAGACAUCGCUGGUGCAAGUGGCAUGGCCUGAAGAAGGCAAAAGAAUCUCAUGGCUCAAAUUGCACAAAGAGAAGCAAGUUUAGAACGGACUUCCACAAGAUAAUACACCACGUGCUGACAGCUGAUGUGUUUGAGACUGGAUGGAAUUGAUUGACAGAAACACAUGGUUUGCAAAAACACCCUUACCUUACUCAAAUCUACUCCGUGCAGAACCAUAUUUCAAGAACACAAUCGCCACCGUGCAUCACAUGUAGUUGUUGUGCACGACGCAAUGUGUUUAGAAGACAGAAUUCAGUCGAACAAGUCGAAAGGUAAAGAAGUGAUUGUGUUGCAUGAACCACACAAUGGAUAUGGGCUGAUGUUGUAGGUAGUGCAGUUGGAAAUUUCAUUGGGUUAACUGCUACAGAGCGUAAAUGGAAGGUCGGUCGACCAACCAGCAGCAGGGACAAGCCUCCAUAUAUGAUGAUCGCUGUGCAAAGAGCCAAAAAUGUAAGUUGGUGCCACAUAUGGGUGUUGCUGGAGAAUUUGGUACAAGCAAGCAUACACGCUUUUGCAGUAUAUGUCGUCAGCCAGGGCACAAGAGCACCACGUAUCCAUAGAGCGGUGACCUCCCUCAAAUGGCAUGAAAAGAAGCAAAAUGCUCGAACUGCGGAGUGGGAGGGAUCGGAAGAACACCUGCAACAACCCUAAGGUUGUGCUACAUGUUGCCGAGAAAGGUGCCCUUGUACGGGCUGUAGCUCUGUGAUUGAACUGAAUAAGCAGUGCGUAGCACUGACAUUUGGCUGUUUUUCCUUGUAUGAUGAGGCUUAGUAGCCAUUGGUGUGAAAUGGAUUAUGCAUUGUCGGGUUAGUAAUUGUGAUGAUGUUUCUCUUCGAUUAGUCUCAACCUCUGACUUA
This is an RNA transcript of Triticum dicoccoides, 2203 nucleotides long. RefSeq lists it as uncharacterized. The transcript is spliced from 4 exons. NCBI's taxonomy places the organism in Eukaryota, Viridiplantae, Streptophyta, Magnoliopsida, Poales, Poaceae. The record is from RefSeq and is a predicted model, not a curated record.